Molecule: ribosomal RNA, 399 nt
Filed under: uncultured bacterium
Lineage: Bacteria
Description: bacterial SSU rRNA
Rfam family: Bacterial small subunit ribosomal RNA
Source: RNAcentral
UAUUGCACAAUGGGGGAAACCCUGAUGCAGCGACGCCGCGUGAGUGAAGAAGCAUUUCGGUGUGUAAAGCUCUAUCAGCAGGGAAGAAGAAAUGACGGUACCUGACUAAGUAGCCCCGGCUAACUACGUGCCAGCAGCCGCGGUAAUACGUAGGGGGCAAGCGUUAUCCGGAUUUACUGGGUGUAAAGGGAGCGUAGACGGCAAGGCAAGCCUGGAGUGAAGGGCGGGGGCCCAACCCCCGGACUGCUCUGGGAACUGUCUGGCUAGAGUGCAGGAGGGGUAAGUGGAAUUCCUAGUGUAGCGGUGAAAUGCGUAGAUAUUAGGAGGAACGCCAGUGGGGAAGGCGGCUUACUGGACUGUAACUGACGUUGAGGCUCGAAAGCGUGGGGAGCAAACAGG